Long non-coding RNA from Bactrocera dorsalis (oriental fruit fly), 440 nucleotides. RefSeq lists it as uncharacterized. NCBI's taxonomy places the organism in Eukaryota, Metazoa, Arthropoda, Insecta, Diptera, Tephritidae. The transcript is spliced from 4 exons. The record is from RefSeq and is a predicted model, not a curated record.
UAAAGUUGUGAUUGACAACAGAUGAAUUCGAAACAAAACUUAUAUUAAACGCUCAAAAACAACUUCUGACACACAUAGCACGAAAUAGAUUGUCAUACAAAAUGUCCCUGCAAGACGGAGGUAACAGAUUGCACAAACACAUUGAAACAUUUUCAGCUGUUCACUAACACUGUUACAUUUUCUGGAAUUUUCAAUGGAAUGUGAGAAUACGAGAGGCGAAUACCCAAUAUUUCAAGAAGAAUAAACGAAAAGCGCAGUUUAUUUUGGAUUUUAAAGAGAGAAAACGAAAGAGGUUAACAAGGAGAAAAAGAAAUCAUUUGGACCAUUGGUAAAAUUCAAAUCUAUUGCGUGCAGCAACCAAAUAAUGGAGUAUGUUUUAAAUUAUUAAAGUUAAAUAGUGUAUAUUUAAUUCAAAUAUUUGUUAUAGAUUGUGCAUUUUA